AACUUAACGACCUCACCAUCCCUGCCACAUUGAGUUUAACAGCCGCAGCCCGGAAAGUGUUGAUACUACCAGAUUCAGGAGCACUGAUCAGCUCACCAGCUCCAAUACACUUGUCAAUAUAUUUGUAAAAGCCCGAAAAGUAGAAUUCCACAUUGCAGAACAAUCAAAUCAGAUCUCGCAACAUAAAGAUAACCCUUUCAUAAAUCAAGGACUUUAUACUAAUCAUACCUUUACGCUUAGCAGGUACUUGUGUAUACCUAUUAUCAUUAUUUUUGCAUUUCUUCCUUUAUAAUAAUCCGAAACUGAGACGCCGUGGAUACAGAGCACACUUAUUUGGCAAUGACAACAGUCUGGACCUUACUUUCGUCCUAAUAUAGUUUACAAAACACUCCAAGAGAGUACUAAAACAUAAUAUAUAUAUAUAUAUACAUCAAAAUAUAAUCAUUCCCAAAUUUGGACAAACCAUUCCAUGAGAGUACUAAAACAUAAGACAAAGUGAUAUAUAUGAAUUUAUUUCCAGCACAAAAACUUACGGAAAUUGAAGAGGAGACACAUGGACUACAGUACUAAAUCCUUACAUUUCAAUAGAUCAUAAAAUUGUCUCAGUAUUCUCAUCAAACAGAUGGAGUGCAAAAGCCUCACCAUUUUAGUAGAAAAUCAAGAAAUCAAAUAAUCACUUGACACAAAAAGAGAUUAACCUAAAAAAGGGAAGUGAUAUAGAUAUUGGGGAAAAGGAAAUACCUCCUCCAUCAGUAGAUCCGAGCAACGGUAGUAAUCGCCUCCAACCCAAUGCUGAGGAAGUUGUGAGCGCAAUUAGAAGCAAGUCGUGAAGGCUG
RNAcentral lists this long non-coding RNA (836 nucleotides) under Daucus carota (carrot). RNAcentral describes it as "long non-coding RNA (DCAR_LNC003584)". Lineage: Eukaryota; Viridiplantae; Streptophyta; Magnoliopsida; Apiales; Apiaceae. The record is from RNAcentral.